AACGAACGCUGGCGGCGCGCUUAACACAUGCAAGUCGAGCGGUCUGGGGGCAACUCCAGGCAGCGGCGGACGGGUGCGUAACACGUGGAUAAUCUGCCCUCGAGACGGAGAUAACCAGCCGAAAGGUUGGCUAAUACCCGGUAAGCUCACGGUCCCGCAGGGGACAGGGAGAAAAGUGGCAACACGCUUGAGGAUGAGUCCGCGGCCCAUCAGGUAGUUGGCGGGGUAAAAGCCCACCAAGCCGACGACGGGUAGCUGGUCUGAGAGGACGACCAGCCACACUGGAACUGAGACACGGUCCAGACUCCUACGGGAGGCAGCAGUGGGGAAUCUUGCGCAAUGGGCGAAAGCCUGACGCAGCGACGCCGCGUGUGCGAUGAAGGUCUUCGGAUCGUAAAGCACUGUCGCCCGGGAAAAAGAGAGUGAUGGUACCGGGAGAGGAAGCACCGGCUAACUCUGUGCCAGCAGCCGCGGUAAAGUCUGUACU
RNAcentral lists this ribosomal RNA (487 nucleotides) under uncultured bacterium. RNAcentral describes it as "bacterial SSU rRNA". It matches the Rfam family "Bacterial small subunit ribosomal RNA", at positions 29 to 536 of the family's 1533-position model. The record is from RNAcentral.